Molecule: long non-coding RNA, 241 nt
Organism: Brienomyrus brachyistius
Lineage: Eukaryota; Metazoa; Chordata; Actinopteri; Osteoglossiformes; Mormyridae
Exons: 3
Source: RefSeq, a predicted model, not a curated record
GGCGCUGUGCAUGCUGGGAAAAGUAGUUCCCAUCUUGUUGCUCAGUUCUGCAUAUUAACGCAAAUCUUCUUCAGAUGAAGCCAGUGGAGAUGUGCAGAAAGAAAGGGAGUUCUUAGCUGUGGUUGGAAGUGAAAAAAUAAGAUCAACAAAUAUGAACUGCGAGGUUAGGGCAGAAGUAAAACAUGACGGCUCUGACCCCUUUGUUAACAUUACAUUCACUGACGGAGAGAGGUUACUGAUG